RNAcentral lists this ribosomal RNA (468 nucleotides) under uncultured bacterium. Its description in RNAcentral is "partial 16S ribosomal RNA". It matches the Rfam family "Bacterial small subunit ribosomal RNA", at positions 28 to 507 of the family's 1533-position model. The record is from RNAcentral.
GACGAACGCUGGCGGCGUGCUUAACACAUGCAAGUCGAACGGACUGGCCCCGCUUUUGUGGGGUGCUCGUGUGGCGCACGGGUGUGACACACGUGAGUAUCCUGCCCUUUACUUUGUGACCACUUCAGGAAUCUGCGGCUACCACCUGCUCGCUGCUCCUGCUGCAUGGUGCGGGAUGGAAUGUUUCGGCGGCUGGGUAUGGACUCGCGGCUUUUCAGCCUGUUGGUGGGGUAGUGGCUUACCAAGGCUUUGACGGGUAGCCGGCCUGAGAGGGUGACCGGCCACAUUGGGACUGAGAUACGGCCCAGACUCCUACGGGAGGCAGCAGUGGGGAGUAUUGCACAAUGGGCGGAAGCCUGAUGCAGCAACGCCGCGUGCGGGAUGACGGCCUGCGGGUUGUAAACCGCUUUCGCCUGGGACGAAGCGUGAGUGACGGUAAUGGGUAAAGAAGCACCGGCUAACUACGUG